AGCAACACUAGUUACAAAACAAGCGACGACGACAGACGGAUCAACCCCGACGAAGAGACAUCGACUUCGCUUUUGCUAAUAAACGGCUACAAACUCACAUAUUUGAUUAAUAUUCGUAAUAUAUCGUCUUGAUAUACGUUUUGAAGGUUAUUUACUUGCCUUGAAUCGUUUACAUCGACGUUACCACCAGAACAAAGCUACAAUCUACACGCUUGUGGCAGUACACAUAAACAAUGGCCAAGGGAGAAGUCGCACACUCUAAAAUGGCCUACGAUCGUCAAAUUGAUGGCAUCAAAGUCAUCUUUGACCAGAGUAGCCCGGUCCCUUCUCGCUCCCGAUCCAGGAGCAACAGUGGCAGCAAACCUACCUCUGGCUCCGGCCGCUCCAAGGGCCGUGUCAGCCGCAGGAGGCGCUACAGAUCAUCCUCCAGCAGCAGCAGCUCCUCGUCUCAUUCCAGGUCCCGCUCUCACCCCCGAUGCCACAGACCUUCUUCCCGUUGUCGCUGUGACAACCAUCGCAGAAAUGACCGUAGCCGCCAAGCCCCACCACGUCGCGACAGGGCCGGCUCCAGGUCCUCCAGCCACAGGAACAAGAACAAGAGGGCUGCGAGCCCCUCUUCCAAAUCCCAACCCAGAACCCACAGCGGCAGCUCAAGAUCUGGAUCUUCAGAGGAUUCCGUCAACCUGAGAUUGGAUGACAAAGGAGAACUGGUCAGAGCUGCACAGGCCAUUGCAACGACAAUCCUAGGAGUGGAGAAGGAGGAACUUCCUGAGAGUGUGGAACCAGUCCUGUCCGAGGAGUCGGUUGAGUUCAAACGGGUGUCCAUAGAUACAUGGGUGAGACAAGACCCUGAAAAGACUGAGUCACAGGUGGGUGCAUUUCUGUCAUGUUUAUCACAAAACACAAUACAAAAAUUAAGCUGUGUACAGAUUCUUAAUAAAGGCAAACAUGUUUUUUUUCAUCAUGGACUACACCUAAAUAAAAGGUAAGGGGUGUUGAGAAUUUAGGGAUAGCCAACAAUCUUUCAACUUGUGCAUAAUCAAUCUUUACCACAUGCUUAAUAUUAAUCAUAGAUCUUAAGCUGUACAGGAUGACUUAAUAUUUUCAUAAUAUAAGCUGAUCUUAGCCGUUGCAUCAUUUUUUUUAAUCAAAGAUACAGUCUAACGUCUACAGUUGUUUAUCUUGAGGUCAAUGUUGUGUUGAAUUUCCUGUCUUGUGUGCUUGGACCCCUGAGGGAAUACACAUGCUCUCUGUAUUUAUUCCUGUCUUCAUAGAUAACAUGACAGUGGUCUCCUUCACUCAUCGGCACCUGGGAGUAAAGGGCUGUCAUGUGACUUGGGUGACAACAAUAUGUUUGCGUGAAAGUUUAUCUGAUACCUCCUUUAUAAUUUCCACGAUGUUUGAAAUGGGUCGUUGUUAUUUAGCAGAAUCCUUCACUCGCUGAUGGAGCAAAGGCGUGUGGACCGCAUUAUAGUGACUAUCCCUGUCGAGAGCUAGAAACAGAUGAAGAACUCCACUCCGUAUGCCAAAGAUAAGUUGGUUCACCAGCCGUGUGCUGAGCUGGGAAACCUACGUCACCACCAUUCAGCCAAUGUAGACAGAGAAGACAUCCCUUUUUACUUGAUCCUUUUCUCUUUCAUUUGAUUGUUUUAUUAUGUUUCAAGGUCUGACUUUAGUAGGAUUCAGUUAAUGCUCGAGCCGAGUCUUUGACAACAGUGGGAUGGGGUUUUUUAAGUGUUGAAGUUAACACUUAAAUAAUUAACAUGCAAUAGAAGUGCUUCACAAUUUGACAAUGGGGACUAUAACACAUCUAUAUGAAGUUUACAAACUGUCAGAGCCACCCUACCAUCAGUUUCACACACAUAUCUAACUAGGUGUGGUUUUCUUGUCUUUCUGAAACAGAGCGAUGAGGAGGAGUCUGAUGAUGUAUUCAGCCCCAGGAUGUCCCCAAAAAGGAAAACUAUCUCUUUCAGCAUUAAUAACUCUUUGGUGAAGCCCACACUGGCGGCUCAGUCUGGAGCUAAGGUAACCUCCAGAGUGGACAGCUUUGACAGCAGGAAGCCCUACGGUCACUGGGUUCGGGUCAAAUCAGGCAAAUCUAUGAACGCGCGCAAACACACAUUCUCUACUACACACUAGUGUGUCAGAGUGCAUGGACCCUGUAAAUACUGCACAUGAUUUGUACAUAUGCUUCAACAUAUUAUGGUCGCAAUUUUUUUUCAGAUGUUGAAAGAGUAAAGUGGGAACAACUGAAGAAAUUCAUUCAGGUGGGAUAUUUUUUUCCCUUUGUUGUAUAUUGUGCUUUUUUUUCAAUAAAGAUAUUUAUUUGAUUACAAAGUG
This is an RNA transcript of Trematomus bernacchii (emerald rockcod), 2340 nucleotides long. It is a transcript of the gene named arginine/serine-rich protein 1, with no coding region annotated. The record is from RefSeq and is a predicted model, not a curated record. The transcript is spliced from 5 exons. NCBI's taxonomy places the organism in Eukaryota, Metazoa, Chordata, Actinopteri, Perciformes, Nototheniidae.